CCUUUACUUGUAUGUUGUAGAUGUGAUGUGACUGUUUGGAAUAGGACCAAGAGCAAGUGUGAUCCUCUCAUCAGCUUGGGAGCAAAAUAUAAAUCAUCUCCAGAGGAAGUCACUGCAUCUUGUGAUGUCACAUUUGCGAUGCUUGCUGAUCCUAAAAGUGUAGUGGAUGUUUCUUAUGGCAAGUAU
Nelumbo nucifera (sacred lotus) is the source of this 186-nucleotide non-coding RNA. The record is from RefSeq and is a predicted model, not a curated record. NCBI's taxonomy places the organism in Eukaryota, Viridiplantae, Streptophyta, Magnoliopsida, Proteales, Nelumbonaceae.